AUGCCGGAGCCUCGUUGCACAGCAAUCGUUAAUUUUUUAAAUUUGAGCCACUCAAUCUUAAUCUCAAUAUUUUCAGUCAGUGUCAUGUCUAAUUACCAUCAUAAUCACAAUUAUCAGCAUCGCCCACGCGGAUAUGAAAGGCUUCCAGGAAAGAGACUCCCAGACAGAUGGAAUAUUUACGAUAACGUCGGCCGUGAUAUCGAUGGGACUCGAUUUGUUCCAUUCAAAACACCACUAGAUUCAUCAUUCUUCGAUGGGAAAAAUAUGCCUGUGGAGCUUCAAUUUGGUGUAAAAACAUUGAUUUCUCUGGCACAACAGGCUAAUAAACAAAUUGGAUUGGUUAUCGAUCUCACAAAUACGGAUAGAUAUUAUAAAAAGACGGAAUGGGCAGAUCACGGAGUCAAGUAUUUUUUAUAGGAAACUCAAUUGCCCCGGUCACGAGGUGAACGAACGAGAAGAUCUUGUGCAAGACUUCAUUAAUGCUGUUAAGGAAUUUGUGAACGAUAAAGAAAACGAUGGAAAACUGAUUGGCGUACACUGCACUCAUGGGCUCAACAGAACAGGAUACCUUAUUUGCCGGUAUAUGAUUGACGUGGAUAAUUAUAGUGCAUCCGAUGCGAUUUCUAUGUUUGAAUACUACCGUGGACAUCCAAUGGAGCGGGAACACUACAAAAAAUCAUUGUACGAAGCUGAAAGGAAGAAAAAAUACGGAAAAAGCAGCGGAAAAAGCAGCGGAAACUCAGCCGAUUCCACAAUUUCGAGUGAACAGUUGCAUCGAAAUAAUUCUCAAUAA
RNAcentral lists this unclassified non-coding RNA (793 nucleotides) under Caenorhabditis elegans. Its description in RNAcentral is "Non-coding transcript of protein-coding gene pir-1". The record is from RNAcentral. Lineage: Eukaryota; Metazoa; Nematoda; Chromadorea; Rhabditida; Rhabditidae.